RNAcentral lists this transfer RNA (69 nucleotides) under Paragonimus ohirai. Its description in RNAcentral is "tRNA-Glu". Lineage: Eukaryota; Metazoa; Platyhelminthes; Trematoda; Plagiorchiida; Troglotrematidae. The record is from RNAcentral. RNAcentral also lists the same sequence under 1 other name.
GUCGGUUAGGUGUAGAAGGGUUGCACGUUAAUUUUUCGUGUUAGAGGGAGUUUAAAAAAUUAUCCGAUG